CCUACGGGGGGCAGCAGUGAGGAAUCUUCCACAAUGGGCGAAAGCCUGAUGGAGCAACGCCGCGUGCAGGAUGAAGGCCUUCGGGUUGUAAACUGCUUUUAUAAGUGAGGAUUAUGACAGUAACUUAUGAAUAAGGAUCGGCUAACUACGUGCCAGCAGCCGCGGUCAUACGUAGGAUCCGAGCGUUAUCCGGAGUGACUGGGCGUAAAGAGUUGCGUAGGCGGUUUAAUAAGUGAAUAGUGAAACCUGGUGGCUCAACCAUACAGACUAUUAUUCGAACUGUUGAACUCGAGAGCAGAAGAGGUAACUGGAAUUUCUAGUGUAGGAGUGAAAUCCGUAGAUAUUAGAAGGAACACCGAUGGCGUAGGCAGGUUACUGGGCCAUUUCUGACGCUAAGGCACGAAAGCGUGGGGAGCGAACCGGAUUAGAUACCCUUGUAGUC
RNAcentral lists this ribosomal RNA (442 nucleotides) under Escherichia coli. RNAcentral describes it as "bacterial SSU rRNA". It matches the Rfam family "Bacterial small subunit ribosomal RNA", at positions 338 to 795 of the family's 1533-position model. The record is from RNAcentral. Lineage: Bacteria; Pseudomonadati; Pseudomonadota; Gammaproteobacteria; Enterobacterales; Enterobacteriaceae.